RNAcentral lists this ribosomal RNA (392 nucleotides) under Limosilactobacillus fermentum. RNAcentral's name for it is "bacterial SSU rRNA". It matches the Rfam family "Bacterial small subunit ribosomal RNA", at positions 1 to 355 of the family's 1533-position model. The record is from RNAcentral. Lineage: Bacteria; Bacillati; Bacillota; Bacilli; Lactobacillales; Lactobacillaceae.
UUUAUAUGAGAGUUUGAUCCUGGCUCAGGAUGAACGCCGGCGGUGUGCCUAAUACAUGCAAGUCGAACGCGUUGGCCCAAUUGAUUGAUGGUGCUUGCACCUGAUUGAUUUUGGUCGCCAACGAGUGGCGGACGGGUGAGUAACACGUAGGUAACCUGCCCAGAAGCGGGGGACAACAUUUGGAAACAGAUGCUAAUACCGCAUAACARCGUUGUUCGCAUGAACAACGCUUAAAAGAUGGCUUCUCGCUAUCACUUCUGGAUGGACCUGCGGUGCAUUAGCUUGUUGGUGGGGUAACGGCCUACCAAGGCGAUGAUGCAUAGCCGAGUUGAGAGACUGAUCGGCCACAAUGGGACUGAGACACGGCCCAUACUCCUACGGGAGGCAGCAGU